Mustela erminea (ermine) is the source of this 288-nucleotide long non-coding RNA. RefSeq lists it as uncharacterized. The record is from RefSeq and is a predicted model, not a curated record. The transcript has 3 exons. NCBI's taxonomy places the organism in Eukaryota, Metazoa, Chordata, Mammalia, Carnivora, Mustelidae.
AAAUGACAUCAGCACUUGUGGGGAUGAGCCCUGGGUAUUAUGUGUAAGUGAUGAAUCACGAAAUUCUGCAUCAGAAACCAAUUUUACCAUAACUUCCUUAGAGAUUGACCCAGAUGUGUUCUACUUACCCGUUCACGGGACAGUGCUGAUCCAAGUUUGAGAACACAGCUCUGCAAAAUCGGAAGCUAUAAUUUACACGGCAAAUUUGACUCAGAUGGGACUCUUCAGAGGGCUGGGACCAUCAGCGUAUAUAUGGUGUCUAAUAUUUAACAAGUGGUAACCACUCAG